This is a long non-coding RNA of Syngnathus acus (greater pipefish), 1012 nucleotides long. RefSeq lists it as uncharacterized. The record is from RefSeq and is a predicted model, not a curated record. NCBI's taxonomy places the organism in Eukaryota, Metazoa, Chordata, Actinopteri, Syngnathiformes, Syngnathidae. The transcript has 3 exons.
UUUCAAGAAGACUUGUACAAGGGAGGCCUGCAUCAUGGAACACAAACUCCCAAACACACAUGACUUCUCCUGAUUCUUCUCACAGCGAGAGCCACGCAUUUCAAGAAGACUUGUACAAGGGAGGCCUGCAUCAUGGAACACAAACUCCCAAACACACAUGACUUCUCCUGAUUCUUCUCACAGCGAGAGCCACGCAUUUCAAGAAGACUUGUACAAGGGAGGCCUGCAUCAUGGAACACAAACUCCCAAACACACAUGACUUCUCCUGAUUCUUCUGUGAGUAGCCAAAAAGGAAAUUUGUCAGGAAGCACUCUUUAAUUUUACCGCUUCUCCUCAACAUGAAUUGAUUAUGAUAUUAUGUUGUAGCACAGCGAGAGCCACGCAUUUCAAGAAGACUUGUACAAGGGAGGCCUGCAUCAUGGAACACAAACUCCCAAACACACAUGACUUCUCCUGAUUCUUCUGUGAGUAGCCAAGAAGGAAAUUUGUCAGGAAGCACUCUUUAAUUUUACCGCUUCUCCUCAACAUGAAUUGAUUAUGAUAUUAUGUUGUAGCACAGCGAGAGCCACGCAUUUCAAGAAGACUUGUACAAGGGAGGCCUGCAUCAUGGAACACAAACUCCCAAACACACAUGACUUCUCCUGAUUCUUCUGUGAGUAGCCAAGAAGGAAAUUUGUCAGGAAGCACUCUUUAAUCUUACCGCUUCUCCUCAACACCUCCUUCAUGUUUUUCUACUAUGUUCAUGGGUCUUGCCUGUGGUUCUACAAGCAUCCAGUCAUGCAGACAAAUAACACCUUAGCCUUUAACUGUCGGAAGCUGUCCCUCUGCGAGGCCUCAUAGUAUACAGUCUGUUUUCUGUUCUCAUUUAUUUAUUUAUUUGUUGUUGAUUCAUUUAUUUGUCUAUAGACACUGCUUUGAACUUAGAAGUUUUCACUGUUUUGAGUUGCACAAUUGUUGGCCUUUCUAUAUUUCUUUGCCUUAAAUUAUGUUUAUUAUGUUUUGUGUUUCCAAU